This 2546-nucleotide long non-coding RNA is filed under the name Equus asinus (donkey). RNAcentral's name for it is "lncRNA (ENSEASG00005035858.1)". The record is from RNAcentral. Lineage: Eukaryota; Metazoa; Chordata; Mammalia; Perissodactyla; Equidae.
CUGUGAACGAGAGGGAGCCGAGGGCUUCGUCUUCCCAGCAACAGGCGCUCGUGCCUCAGAGGCACGACAGAUUCCUAGGCGCUGCUUGAGUGUGACGUGUUUCCCAACUGCCACUACCCUCUUCAAAGUACUGACCUUGCAUAGUUUAAGCUAUUGUAUUCUUACCGCAUUAUCGGUUCGUCAUCUUUAUCGAUUCAUUUCCUUGCAUGCUUUCUACAGGCUGCCUCUGCAAGCCUCAGGAGGACAGUGCUCCUAAACUUGCCUGCACUUUACAUCACAUGGGGAUCUUCUAAAAAUUCCAAGCCCAGAGCAUACCCCAGGCCAAUUAAAUCACAAUUCCCUAGCGGUGGGAAACAGGUAUCAGUAGUUUUGGAAACUCUCCAGGUGAUUCCAAUGUGCAGAAAAGUUUGGGAACCACUGCCCUAAGGCCUUGCUGCUCAAAGUGUGGACUGUGGACCAGCAGCAUCACUAGAAAUCAGAACCUCUAACUACUUGAAUCAGAGAUCUCUGGGUGAUUUGACACACAUUAAGAUUUGGGAAGCACUGUUUAGAGGCCUGAAUGGAUAUGGGUAUCUUGAUUUAUGAGGACCACGUGUUUAAAGGAUGUCCUUGGAUGAGGAUAACAACGACAGGAUGGAUUGUGUGACCUUCCACCAGGCUGUGAACACUCCCACCGUGGCUGAUUUCCAUCUACUGACAUGGAAUUGAGAAGAGACGCCCGGUAACACAUCCUGAUAGGGGUCCAUCUGUUUAAAGAUGCAACAAGAUGAAAACAUGUCCUCCAUCUGCCACUCUCGCUUUUUUGUUGAACGAGCUGGGAUCCUGCAGAUGAGUGAGUGCUGUCUCCUGCCCGCUGGGACUGGUCUAGACCUGCUCCCAGCGCCAGUCCUACCACGUGCUAUUCCAGCAGGCAAGAAUCAGAGGCUUUGAAACUGUUCUUCUUGCAGAAGAACCCUCACCUGUGAUCUUGGAAGAAAAAAUUUUAAGAAACGAACAAAUUAUUAAUUUGGAAGCCAUCCUGGAGUUCUGAAAACUAAAAUCUGCUCUUUGAAAGAUACUACAGGGAAAAUAUGUCUAAAUACUCAACUAAUAAGUAAUUCUAUUCCAUAAGUACCUUCGAGUCAUGGUAGAUAUUUACGAAUAGGUUGAACAAGAAAAAAUUAAGGUCAAUUCUUCUUGAUCUGAGAAGCCUGAAAAAAAGUAGACAGUCUCAAACUUACUUCCUUUUACUCAGGGGAAAGGCAAUCUCGAGAUACAACAGUCUGGUUUCCAAGAGGGACCUGGAGAAGAGAGAAUGCAGGCAGCAGUGGCUGAAACAGAGCUGUCACCUACAGUUUGAAUAAUUUUAACACUAAUAUCAUUUACGUACAUUCAAGUGAACUCUUUUCUUUGUGCCCAGAUGGUGUAUUGACAUAACUGCUUUAAUGAAAAGAUCUUUUGACAACAAACGCGUUUUAGUUUUUGAAAGAGGAAGCAUUCCUUGUUGGGCUUAAUUGAUGAGGUUUAAAUAUCCUCUUUUUUCUAGGAAAUCUAGCUCUCUAACUCCUCUCGUGUUGUUAAUGCCCAGGGUGUAGGGAGCAACGGACUGAGAGUGCCCACAUCCCCCAGGGCCUCACAGAACCAUCUCAUCGGGGGUCUGCUCCCUCUGUACCUCCACCUCCGCAUCUGUUUUGUGGGUAUCUUCCCAUAGCAGGCACUUUCCUCCUGUUCCUGAGGAGGUUGUAAGCCCAGUGAGACAAGGUGAGUGAGCAUGCCUUACCUGGAAUGUGCUACUGCUUCAGUCCUUCCUCUGAUUUCCCCCAGCCCCAGCCCAGGUUGGGGCAGGGUCGACAGCUGGCCAAGAAUAUAAAACUGGCUGUUUGAACCAAUGGCUCUUUCAUGAGCUUAGCCAGGUGUCUGGUGUUGGGCCACAGUCAGUAUAUUCAUCUUUAGAGGCCAGAAGUCCAAGUUCCCUUCUGAGGUUGGUGGAAAGGAGGAGGAGAGGUGAAGCUGACCUCCUUCCCAGAAGGUGGAACCGAGGAUGACCGUCUACUAGCAGCACCCGGGGGACUAGCUCUGCGUCCUGGAACUUCCUUCUCUCAACAGGAAGUGAUGGACUGAAUAACACUUAACGCAAAGUGGGAAGCGGUCCUCCGCGUACAUGCCAGAAUGGUUAUAGACAGAGGGCUAAAGUAGUUGGAAGAAAAUUCUUAUUGAAAUAUUCCCGUCUGUAUUUUAGACAGAUUUCACCUCUGAGGAUAAAAUGAUGUAUUAUAGCAACAACAGCCUAAAUUAAUAAAAGCACAGGAAAAGACUUUAAUAGAAACUGGAAAUUUCUGUAACUUUUGCCCAACCCAGAACUUUGGGAGAUGUUAGAUGAGACAUCAGCUACAGAACCUAGAAUUGAGAGCAUUUCCCAGGACAUUAGUAAUAGGUUUAGCUAAAUAGGACUACGAUUCCUGCUCUCAUAGCUCCUCACUGUUUGCAAAGACAAAUAAUCACCCAGACUACAGAGACCAACACACAACAAAAAGGGAAAUUUAAUAAAUAUUUAAUAAACAUUUUUG